AGACCCGAAACCCGGUGAUCUAGCCAUGGGCAGGUUGAAGGUUGGGUAACACUAACUGGAGGACCGAACCGACUAAUGUUGAAAAAUUAGCGGAUGACUUGUGGCUGGGGGUGAAAGGCCAAUCAAACCGGGAGAUAGCUGGUUCUCCCCGAAAGCUAUUUAGGUAGCGCCUCGUGAAUUCAUCUCCGGGGGUAGAGCACUGUUUCGGCAAGGGGGUCAUCCCGACUUACCAACCCGAUGCAAACUGCGAAUACCGGAGAAUGUUAUCACGGGAGACACACGGCGGGUGCUAACGUCCGUCGUGAAGAGGGAAACAACCCAGACCGCCAGCUAAGGUCCCAAAGUCAUGGUUAAGUGGGAAACGAUGUGGGAAGGCCCAGACAGCCAGGAUGUUGGCUUAGAAGCAGCCAUCAUUUAAAGAAAGCGUAAUAGCUCACUGGUCGAGUCGGCCUGCGCGGAAGAUGUAACGGGGCUAAACCAUGCACCGAAGCUGCGGCAGCGACACUGUGUGUUGUUGGGUAGGGGAGCGUUCUGUAAGCCUGUGAAGGUGUGCUGUGAGGCAUGCUGGAGGUAUCAGAAGUGCGAAUGCUGACAUAAGUAACGAUAAAGCGGGUGAAAAGCCCGCUCGCCGGAAGACCAAGGGUUCCUGUCCAACGUUAAUCGGGGCAGGGUGAGUCGACCCCUAAGGCGAGGCCGAAAGGCGUAGUCGAUGGGAAACAGGUUAAUAUUCCUGUACUUGGUGUUACUGCGAAGGGGGGACGGAGAAGGCUAUGUUGGCCGGGCGACGGUUGUCCCGGUUUAAGCGUGUAGGCUGGUUUUCCAGGCAAAUCCGGAAAAUCAAGGCUGAGGCGUG
This 853-nucleotide ribosomal RNA is filed under the name Escherichia coli. RNAcentral describes it as "partial 23S ribosomal RNA". It matches the Rfam family "Bacterial large subunit ribosomal RNA", at positions 711 to 1565 of the family's 2925-position model. The record is from RNAcentral. RNAcentral also lists the same sequence under 1 other name. Lineage: Bacteria; Pseudomonadati; Pseudomonadota; Gammaproteobacteria; Enterobacterales; Enterobacteriaceae.